Long non-coding RNA from Salvelinus sp. IW2-2015, 178 nucleotides. RefSeq lists it as uncharacterized. NCBI's taxonomy places the organism in Eukaryota, Metazoa, Chordata, Actinopteri, Salmoniformes, Salmonidae. The record is from RefSeq and is a predicted model, not a curated record.
UGGGGGACCUUUAUGGCCCAGAGCACCCGAAAGAGUGUGACAUCACGUUGGAGAGCUCACUGCUCUGAACUGGUUUAUUCUUGGCCAGCAGCUUCUACUGGCUACAAACGCCAGAACCACUGUGUAAUGGAUGCUCUGGUGAACUCAGAGAUCAGGGAAGAGGGAGGAGAUACUCGGU